UGGUUAAGCUACUAAGAGCACACGGAGGAUGCCUAGGCGCUAGGAGCCGAUGAAGGACGUGGCGAACAACGAAACUGCCUCGGGGAGCUGUAAGCAAGCUUUGAUCCGGGGAUGUCCGAAUGGGGAAACCCAGCUGGGGUAAUAUCCAGUUACUCUUAACUGAAUACAUAGGGCAAGUAGAGGCAUACCAGGGGAACUGAAACAUCUAAGUACCCUGAGGAAGAGAAAACAAU
This 233-nucleotide ribosomal RNA is filed under the name Paenibacillus cucumis (ex Kampfer et al. 2016). RNAcentral's name for it is "partial 23S ribosomal RNA". It matches the Rfam family "Bacterial large subunit ribosomal RNA", at positions 1 to 229 of the family's 2925-position model. Lineage: Bacteria; Bacillati; Bacillota; Bacilli; Caryophanales; Paenibacillaceae. The record is from RNAcentral.